GUAGGUGAACCUGCGGAGGGAUCAUUACAAGAGAUGGCGGGCCUCCGUGUCCCCGUCCCCAACCCAUCGUUGACCAAAACCUUUUGCCUCGGGGGCAGAGCGUCCGCCGCCGCCCCCGGAGGACCACCGAACGCUGUCUCUGUACGUCGGAGUCUUGAUUAAAUAAAUGAAAACUUUCAACAACGGAUCUCUUGGUUCUG
Molecule: unclassified non-coding RNA, 200 nt
Filed under: rhizosphere metagenome
Description: partial ribosomal RNA internal transcribed spacer region
Source: RNAcentral